GUGGGGAAUCUUGCGCAAUGGGCGAAAGCCUGACGCAGCCAUGUCGCGUGGAUGAUGAAGGUCUUAGGAUUGUAAAAUCCUUUCACCGGUGAAGAUAAUGACUGUAGCCGGAGAAGAAGCCCCGGCUAACUUCGUGCCAGCAGCCGCGGUAAUACGAAGGGGGCUAGCGUUGCUCGGAAUUACUGGGCGUAAAGGGAGCGUAGGCGGACAUUUAAGUCAGGGGUGAAAUCCCGAGGCUCAACCUCGGAACUGCCUUUGAUACUGGGUGUCUUGAGUGUGAGAGAGGUGAGUGGAACUCCGAGUGUAGAGGUGAAAUUCGUAGAUAUUCGGAAGAACACCAGUGGCGAAGGCGUCUCACUGGCUCAUUACUGACGCUGAGGCUCGAAAGCGUGGGGAGCAAACAGGAUUAGAAACCCUUGUAGUCC
Molecule: ribosomal RNA, 425 nt
Filed under: uncultured bacterium
Lineage: Bacteria
Description: partial 16S ribosomal RNA
Rfam family: Bacterial small subunit ribosomal RNA
Source: RNAcentral